AAUCAACGCGGGCGGCGUGCUAACACAUGCAAGUCGAACGAGAAAGUGGAGCAAUCCAUGAGUAAAGUGGCGACCGGGUGAGUAACACGUGACUAACCUACCUCGAGUGGGGGAUAACCUCGGGAAACCGGGGCUAAUACCGCAUAACAUCCUUGAAGUGGAAACUUUGGGGAUCAAAGGAGCAAUUCGCUUGAAGAGGGGGUCGCGGCUGAUUAGCUAGUUGGCGGGGUAAUGGCCCACCAAGGCUUUGAUCGGUAGCCGGCCUGAGAGGGCGCACGGCCACACUGGAACUGAAACACGGUCCAGACUCCUACGGGAGGCAGCAGUGGGGAAUUUUGCGCAAUGGGGGAAACCCUGACGCAGCAACGCCGCGUGGAGGAUGAAGUCCCUUGGGACGUAAACUCCUUUCGACCGGGAAGAUUAUGACGGUACCGGUGGAAGAAGCCCCGGCUAACUUCGUGCCAGCAGCCGCGGUAAUACGAGGGGGGCAAGCGUUGUUCGGAAUUAUUGGGCGUAAAGGGCGCGUAGGCGGUGCGGUAAGUCACCUGUGAAAUCUCCGGGCUUAACUCGGAGUCUGCAGGCGAAACUGCCG
This 592-nucleotide ribosomal RNA is filed under the name uncultured bacterium. Its description in RNAcentral is "bacterial SSU rRNA". It matches the Rfam family "Bacterial small subunit ribosomal RNA", at positions 28 to 638 of the family's 1533-position model. The record is from RNAcentral.